UCCUGGUGGCUCAGAUGGUAAAGCAUCUACCUGCAAUGAGGGAGACCUGGGUUCAAUCCCCAGGUCAGGAA
This 71-nucleotide transfer RNA is filed under the name Ovis aries (sheep). It matches the Rfam family "tRNA". Rfam says of the family: Transfer RNA (tRNA) molecules are approximately 80 nucleotides in length. Their secondary structure includes four short double-helical elements and three loops (D, anti-codon, and T loops). The record is from Rfam by way of RNAcentral. Lineage: Eukaryota; Metazoa; Chordata; Mammalia; Artiodactyla; Bovidae.